GAACUGCGAUAAGUAGUGUGAAUUGCAGAAUUCAGUGAAUCAUCGAGUCUUUGAACGCACAUUGCGCCCCCUGGCAUUCCGGGGGGCAUGCCUGUCCGAGCGUCAUUGCUACCCUCAAGCACGGCUUGUGUGUUGGGCCCCCGUCCCCCCCGCGGGGCGGGCCCGAAAGGCAGCGCCGGCACCGCGUCCGGUCCUCGAGCGUAUGGGGCUUCGUCACCCGCUCUGUGGGACCGGCCGGCGCCAGGCUUAGUCAACCACUUCUUUUCUAGGUUGACCUCGGAUCAGGUAGGGAUACCCGCUGAACUUAA
RNAcentral lists this unclassified non-coding RNA (308 nucleotides) under uncultured Penicillium. RNAcentral's name for it is "sequence contains ITS1". The stretch from base 1 to 105 matches the Rfam family "5.8S ribosomal RNA", at positions 50 to 154 of the family's 154-position model. Lineage: Eukaryota; Fungi; Ascomycota; Eurotiomycetes; Eurotiales; Aspergillaceae. The record is from RNAcentral.